This 496-nucleotide ribosomal RNA is filed under the name uncultured bacterium. RNAcentral describes it as "partial 16S ribosomal RNA". It matches the Rfam family "Bacterial small subunit ribosomal RNA", at positions 28 to 506 of the family's 1533-position model. The record is from RNAcentral.
GAUGAACGCUGGCGGCGUGCCUAAUACAUGCAAGUCGAGCGAACGGACGAGAAGCUUGCUUUUCUGAUGUUAGCGGCGGACGGGUGAGUAACACGUGGAUAACCUACCUAUAAGACUGGGAUAACUUCGGGAAACCGGAGCUAAUACCGGAUAAUAUUUUGAACCGCAUGGUUCAAAAGUGAAAGACGGUCUUGCUGUCACUUAUAGAUGGAUCCGCGCUGCAUUAGCUAGUUGGUAAGGUAACGGCUUACCAAGGCAACGAUGCAUAGCCGACCUGAGAGGGUGAUCGGCCACCCUGGAACUGAGACGCGGUCCAGACUCCUACGGGAGGCAGCAGUAGGGAAUCUUCCGCAAUGGGCGAAAGCCUGACGGAGCAACGCCGCGUGAGUGAUGAAGGUCUUCGGAUCGUAAAACUCUGUUAUUAGGGAAGAACAUAUGUGUAAGUAACUGUGCACAUCUUGACGGUACCUAAUCAGAAAGCCACGGCUAACUACGU